Molecule: long non-coding RNA, 361 nt
Organism: Oncorhynchus keta (chum salmon)
Lineage: Eukaryota; Metazoa; Chordata; Actinopteri; Salmoniformes; Salmonidae
Exons: 4
Source: RefSeq, a predicted model, not a curated record
UUGAACUCCCAGCACAGAUAGGACACAUGGACAUUAAUUUCAGUUGAAUGCUUUCUGUUUUAUAACUGACUAGGUUUCCCCCUUUCAGUUGGACAACUGACUAGGUAUCCCCCUUUCAGUUGGACAACUGACUAGGUAUCCCCCUUUCUGUUGGACAACUGACUAGGUAUCCCCCUUUCUGUUGGACAACUGACUAGGUAUCCCCCUUUCUGUUGGACAACUGACUAGGUAUCCCCCUUUCUGUUGGACAACUGACUAGGUAUCCCCCUUUCUGUUGGACAACUGACUAGGUAUCCCCCUUUCUGUUGGACAACUGACUAGGUAUCCCCCUUUCUGUUGGACAACUGACUAGGUAUCCCCC